Molecule: long non-coding RNA, 2165 nt
Organism: Trifolium pratense (red clover)
Lineage: Eukaryota; Viridiplantae; Streptophyta; Magnoliopsida; Fabales; Fabaceae
Exons: 5
Source: RefSeq, a predicted model, not a curated record
ACACACAAAAAAAGUGAAAAAACACAUUUCUGUGAGAAAUCCCUAAAUCCCAAAACACUCUCUUCAUCGUUCCCGCCGCCACCACACUCACACUCCGGCGCAACUUUCUUCAUCGUUCCCUUCAAGAGAAGUGAAUGGGUUCAUCGUUCUCUCCAAUCGUUCACUUAAGGUAUCAAAACUCACUCUCUCCAAUCUCUUUACUGUUCCCGUCGAGAGAAGUAAGAUCUGUCGUUCUUCCAAAACUCGACUGCUCUGUCUAUCUAACAUCCACCUCCAUAACCAAGAAUCAAGUCUCAAAUUUUAGUUUCAUUCCUCUUUUCUCUAUUUGGCAAAGAAUCUCCACAAACCUAAACCCCAAUUCCGAAAUUUUCCCAAUUCCUCCAUUAUUAGUUCAUGCAUGUACGAAUUAAGGCUUCAAACUCUCAUUUCAUACCAAAACGAAAGUCAAGAAUCCUUUUUCACGGCUUGUAUUCAUGAGUUUUACUAUGGGUUGGAGCAUUUCAAGUAUUGGAGGUAAUCUAGGAUUUUCCCGACGGGUUUUACUUGCUCAAGCCGCACAAACGGGUAACUGAAGUUUGAAGUUUCAUUUUCCUUUUAAGUUCCAGAAGUUCCCUUGACACAUGAGGUUGGAAGUUUGGAUUGAAAAGAAUUAUAAGACGAGAUUCAAUUGGAGCACUAGAAUAGAUUGGAGAACAAGCUUUUGAUGUAGACUAUGUUGUGGUUGUAAUAAUCAAGUGUUGAGAGAGCUACAAUUACAGAGAUAAGCAGAUUAAACGAGUCAGGGGUAAGAAGAAACUAAGGAUUGAAGAUGGAAGAUUUUAUUACAUUAGUUUCUUCCUUGCUUUGUUAGAUUAGUCUGAUAGAUAUGUCUGAUGAUUAUUUACCAUUGUGUAAUGGAACUUUCAUUUCCUUGUACCUGAUAUAGAAUUUAGGUACUUGUUUCUUUUGAACAAGCUAUUCUAUAAAUUUUAAUGUAUCGGAACCUCAAUUAUGUAUAUCUUGGUCAAUAUUCUAGACAUUUGACAUUUGGAUGUUACAAGGAGGUCAUUGAACUUAUAUAGUUUUACUGUGCUUAUGUUAUUGAAAAUCAUAAUCCGUUUCCAUGUUGAUAUUUGAAGGUAGGGAAUCCUCUUAUGGAGUUAAAUAUGUUCUCAAUUCAAGAGCAGAGUUCUUAUGGUUCCAUGGACUGAUUUCAAAUUCUGCUUUCAAAUGUUAAGGUGUGUACAUUACUUUGUAAUCGUUUAACAGAACUUUCAUGUUUAUUAAACUUUAUUGUGAGAAUCCUUUAUUUACAUAUGGUGAGAUAGUACUAAUUUCCCAGUCUAUCAUAAUUGUUAAAUGACAAAAGUCAAAUAGUUUUAUUAAUUGCAGAGUAUAUGGCUGUCCCAUUUUAUAUCAAGCAUACUUUUGUUAAUUUUGUUCUACCAUCAAAGAAGAAUUUUGCAGGGUAUAUGUAGUGGUUUACUUUCUUCAUUCCCAACAUGAAUUCUAUUAUAGGGUAAAUAUUAACUUUGAGUUGUUUUGGACCUUAAUUUUAAUGUGAAGGAUGAGAAGCCAACCAACUGGUAGUUUGCAGAAUCUGUUCAGAUGAAGGGGAAACCAAUCACACAUAACACAAAUUGCUAUGUUCUGUUUCUAAAGUCUGAAUGCGAACCCUCUGCGAGACCACCGUGAGACCAUGCAAAAGUUGUUUGCUACCACACCAUCACUAUUUUCAAUCAAUGGCUCCAGUUGUAGUGGGAGAUGUGAUUCCAGACGGAGCUUAAUUUUGUUGCCCUUAUUUGUUGUCAUUUGUGUGUGUGCGCUAUAGGUCCGGGGUUUUUAAUGAUUGAGUCCAUUCGUUUUUUUAAGUAUCCUAAUAUAUAUUUAUGUUUUUCCAGGUAACCGAAUAAGAAAAGUCAAGAGAUGGUAGCACUAAUCAAGGAUUAUGAAGCAACAUCAUGUACCAGGGAAUGUUUAGAUAUUUUAAGAACUUAUUUUGCCAUAAUGUUUUGUAUGUUUAACCACUAUACUAAUGUUUAUGUUUUAGUUUUUCAAUGUUUGAACUACAUUGAUUUUUUUUCCGUUUGGAACUUCAAGAUUAUGGAUGUUGUCACUACUUAAUGAAUUAUGGAUGUUAAGUCACUAAAUGAAUUAUAUAAAUGAGAUUAAGUUAUUUAUAUUUA